UACAGGGGGUGCAAACGUUGCUCGGAAUUAUUGGGCGUAAAGCGCGCGUAGGCGGCCACUUAAGUCGGAUGUGAAAGCCCUUGGCUCAACUGAGGAAGUGCACCCGAAACUGAAUGGCUUGAGUACUAAAGAGGGUCGCGGAAUUCCCGGUGUAGAGGUGAAAUUCGUAGAUAUCGGGAGGAACACCGGUGGCGAAGGCGGCGACCUGGGUAGAUACUGACGCUGAGGCGCGAAAGCGCGGGGAGCAAACAGG
Molecule: ribosomal RNA, 253 nt
Filed under: uncultured bacterium
Lineage: Bacteria
Description: partial 16S ribosomal RNA
Rfam family: Bacterial small subunit ribosomal RNA
Source: RNAcentral